CUUGUUGGGGUUGUAGGACUCCAAUAUGGUAGUCUGUUAGUAUAGUUGAAGGAUUUGGAAAAUUCCGCUAAAGAGGGUGAAAGCCCCGUAGACGAAAUGCUAAUAACACCUAGGAGGAUCCUGAGUACGGCGGAACACGAGAAAUUCCGUCGGAAUCCGCGGGGACCAUCCCGCAAGGCUAAAUACUCCCUAGUGACCGAUAGUGAACCAGUACCGUGAGGGAAAGGUGAAAAGCACCCCGGAAGGGGAGUGAAAUAGAUCCUGAAACCGUGUGCCUACAACAAGUCAAAGCUCGUUAAUGAGUGAUGGCGUGCCUUUUGUAGAAUGAACCGGCGAGUUACGAUUGCAUGCGAGGUUAAGUCGAAGAGACGGAGCCGCAGCGAAAGCGAGUCUGAAUAGGGCGAAUGAGUAUGUAGUCGUAGACCCGAAACCAUGUGAUCUACCCAUGUCCAGGUUGAAGGUGCGGUAAAACGCACUGGAGGACCGAACCCACGUACGUUGAAAAGUGCGGGGAUGAGGUGUGGGUAGCGGAGAAAUUCCAAACGAACUUGGAGAUAGCUGGUUCUCUCCGAAAUAGCUUUAGGGCUAGCCUCGGAAUUGAGAAUGAUGGAGGUAGAGCACUGUUUGGACUAGGGGCCCAUCUCGGGUUACCGAAUUCAGAUAAACUCCGAAUGCCAUUCAUUUAUAUCCGGGAGUCAGACUGCGAGUGAUAAGAUCCGUAGUCGAAAGGGAAACAGCCCAGACCACCAGCUAAGGUCCCAAAAUAUAUGUUAAGUGGAAAAGGAUGUGGGGUUGCACAGACAACUAGGAUGUUGGCUUAGAAGCAGCCACCAUUUAAAGAGUGCGUAAUAGCUCACUAGUCGAGUGACCCUGCGCCGAAAAUGUACCGGGGCUAAACAUAUUACCGAAGCUGUGGACUACACCAUUAGGUGUAGUGGUAGGAGAGCGUUCUAAGGGCGUUGAAGGUCGAUCGUGAGGACGGCUGGAGCGCUUAGAAGUGAGAAUGCCGGUAUGAGUAGCGAAAGACAGGUGAGAAUCCUGUCCACCGUAUGACUAAGGUUUCCUGGGGAAGGCUCGUCCGCCCAGGGUUAGUCGGGACCUAAGCCGAGGCCGAUAGGCGUAGGCGAUGGACAACAGGUUGAUAUUCCUGUACCAGUUGUUUUUGUUUGAACAAUGGAGGGACGCAGUAGGCUAAGGAAUGCAUGCGAUUGGAAGUGCAUGUCCAAGCAAUGAGUCUUGAGUAGAGUUAAAUGCUUUACUCUCUAAGGACAAGUUGUGACGGGGAGCGAAAUAAUAGUAGCGAAGUUCCUGAUGUCACACUGCCAAGAAAAGCUUCUAGUGAGAAAACAACUGCCCGUACCGUAAACCGACACAGGUAGUCGAGGAGAGUAUCCUAAGGUGAGCGAGCGAACUCUCGUUAAGGAACUCGGCAAAAUGACCCCGUAACUUCGGGAGAAGGGGUGCUGACUUCGGUCAGCCGCAGUGAAUAGGCCCAAGCGACUGUUUAUCAAAAACACAGGUCUCUGCAAAAUCGUAAGAUGAAGUAUAGGGGCUGACGCCUGCCCGGUGCUGGAAGGUUAAGAGGAUGGGUUAGCUUCGGCGAAGCUCAGAAUUGAAGCCCCAGUAAACGGCGGCCGUAACUAUAACGGUCCUAAGGUAGCGAAAUUCCUUGUCGGGUAAGUUCCGACCCGCACGAAAGGCGUAACGAUUUGGGCACUGUCUCAACGAGAGACUCGGUGAAAUUUUAGUACCUGUGAAGAUGCAGGUUACCCGCGACAGGACGGAAAGACCCCGUGGAGCUUUACUGUAGUUUGAUAUUGAGUGUUUGUACCACAUGUACAGGAUAGGUAGGAGCCGAUGAGACCGGAACGCUAGUUUCGGAGGAGGCGCUGGUGGGAUACUACCCUUGUGUUAUGAACCCUCUAACCCGCACCACUAAUCGUGGUGGGAGACAGUGUCAGAUGGGCAGUUUGACUGGGGCGGUCGCCUCCUAAAAGGUAACGGAGGCGCCCAAAGGUUCCCUCAGAAUGGUUGGAAAUCAUUCGAAGAGUGUAAAGGCAGAAGGGAGCUUGACUGCGAGACCUACAAGUCGAGCAGGGACGAAAGUCGGACUUAGUGAUCCGGUGGUUCCGCAUGGAAGGGCCAUCGCUCAACGGAUAAAAGCUACCCUGGGGAUAACAGGCUUAUCUCCCCCAAGAGUCCACAUCGACGGGGAGGUUUGGCACCUCGAUGUCGGCUCGUCGCAUCCUGGGGCUGUAGUCGGUCCCAAGGGUUGGGCUGUUCGCCCAUUAAAGCG
RNAcentral lists this ribosomal RNA (2296 nucleotides) under human gut metagenome. RNAcentral describes it as "bacterial LSU rRNA". It matches the Rfam family "Bacterial large subunit ribosomal RNA", at positions 288 to 2595 of the family's 2925-position model. The record is from RNAcentral.